RNAcentral lists this transfer RNA (73 nucleotides) under Felis catus (domestic cat). It matches the Rfam family "tRNA". Rfam says of the family: Transfer RNA (tRNA) molecules are approximately 80 nucleotides in length. Their secondary structure includes four short double-helical elements and three loops (D, anti-codon, and T loops). Further hydrogen bonds mediate the characteristic L-shaped molecular structure. tRNAs have two regions of fundamental functional importance: the anti-codon, which is responsible for specific mRNA codon recognition, and the 3' end, to which the tRNAs corresponding amino acid is attached (by aminoacyl-tRNA synthetases). tRNAs cope with the degeneracy of the genetic code in two manners: having more than one tRNA (with a specific anti-codon) for a particular amino acid; and 'wobble' base-pairing, i.e. permitting non-standard base-pairing at the 3rd anti-codon position. RNAcentral also lists the same sequence under 1 other name. The record is from Rfam by way of RNAcentral. Lineage: Eukaryota; Metazoa; Chordata; Mammalia; Carnivora; Felidae.
GCCUGACUGGCUCAGUUGGUAGAGCAUGUGACUCUUGAUCUCAGGGUUGUGAGUUUGAGCCCCACGUUGGGUG